RNAcentral lists this non-coding RNA (24 nucleotides) under Arabidopsis thaliana (thale cress). Lineage: Eukaryota; Viridiplantae; Streptophyta; Magnoliopsida; Brassicales; Brassicaceae. The record is from RNAcentral.
UUGCUAUAUCUUCUUGUCUAGUGA